AACUGAGAUAGAGGCGCGAAACUUAUUAGUAGUAUUAUGGAGGUAGCUCGAUGAAGUAAUAUGAAAGGAAAUUUCGCCGAAGUAAAUAGUUAAUAGCUUUAACACUAUUUACUGGGCUUAUAUAAAAUAUAUAUAAGACUGUCACAUUUUGUGGAGUGCUAUUUUCAAU
Molecule: non-coding RNA, 169 nt
Filed under: Clostridium sp.
Lineage: Bacteria; Bacillati; Bacillota; Clostridia; Eubacteriales; Clostridiaceae
Also listed under: 1 other name
Description: Lysine sequence
Rfam family: Lysine riboswitch aptamer
About the family: Riboswitches are metabolite binding domains within certain messenger RNAs that serve as precision sensors for their corresponding targets. Allosteric rearrangement of mRNA structure is mediated by ligand binding, and this results in modulation of gene expression.
Source: RNAcentral